This 2845-nucleotide long non-coding RNA is filed under the name Solanum tuberosum (potato). RNAcentral's name for it is "long non-coding RNA (STUB_LNC002875)". The record is from RNAcentral. Lineage: Eukaryota; Viridiplantae; Streptophyta; Magnoliopsida; Solanales; Solanaceae.
CUUCACAUACACCACAAACAUGGAGAUGAUGAUAUUCCUGCAGCGCAAAACAAGCCACAAGAAAUCACUGUGAUUAAUGAGGAAAGCAAUGUAGAUAAAAAGGAGGACGUUGAUGAUCAUAAGAAAAGGCAUUUGGUGAAAAAAGUAGGGAAAAUUGCCAAAAAAUUGUUACAGGGUCAUAACAAAACCUCCAGGGAGGAAGGCUACGAAGGAGAGGAGGAGGAAGAGGCCGCGGAGGAGGGAGAAGAAGUAGAAAUGGAAGAAGGUGGUUUUGAAUUUGAAGUCGAUUUCGACUUUUGAAUUUUUAUUACUCGUAUUAUGGUUUAGGUAUCAGCCCAAUUGUUGUGUGCCUUUUAUAUUUGCGUUCUUGUUUAUUGAUAUAAGAAUAUUUCCUCUAUAGCCCAAAACAAAUUGAACUGGCACAGAAGCUCCAACUGCACGGCUAAGUUCAUUCUGUUUAUUUGUGGAGAAAAGUUUAAAUCUAAAAUUUCUAAUUAACCGAAGGAAUCUGUCACAUCAUAAUUCUGAAUAAUUUUAAUUUUCUAGUAGUAUUGUUACGACAGCAAAUAAACUUUGGACCCCAAACCGUGGGACAGCAUCAGAAUUUCAACUAUGUAUUGCAGACCCUCUAAAUUUAAUUAUCCCAACCUAUAUUUGUAUAAUUAAAUUAUCUUUUCAAAGAUUUCUUUAAAUCUAUCUUUAAAUAAAUAAUUAUCAUAAAUGUGACGGUUCCUUCACAAUCGUGCUAACUGCAGAAAAAUUUAUGACUGUAUUGUUGGUGUAAUUUAUCACAAAUAUAAUAAAUAUAGUUAAAAAUAAAAUGAAUAAAAAAUAAAUAAAUUAUCAUUCGGACUAAAGCACAGAUAUCUUGCUUUCUUAAAGAAGAUUCAAGUCCACUGCUAUAUAAUCUACAUCGUACCGAUUCAGCAAUAUAUCUCUUGACUUGUCCGGUUAUCCCUUCUAGGAUAUAACAACCCAACAACGUCAUACUACUCAAGUAACACCGGAUUAGUUGAAAAGUUCAAAGCUCUAUAACACAGAACAAAUUCUUUCAACAUAUAAAUACUCUCUUUUAUAUAGUGAAUAUAAUUGAAGACCUAGAAUAUUUUUUUCUUAGUCACAACUCUCUCUUUCACUACUACAUACUAUAAUAUUUUUUCACGCUUAACAUAUUUCAUCUCCUACCCAACACAAAGGAAGAUGCACCAUUAUUUAUACGUAAAGAAGUCUUUCAUAUAAUCAAUGAGUAGAAUAAUGGAUGAAAUGAAGAUUUAGAGGUUACAAAAGUUACUAACUAUUAAUGACCAAAUUCUACCACAACACAAAUAUAAUAUCCAUCAAUAAACAUAACACGAUAUAUUAUGUGACAUGAUAUGUUUUUAUUAAAAUGUCACAAUAACAUUUAUUAUUUUAUUAAAAGAAGACCCACUUAUCAAUUUCACAUAACAAGUUGCUUAUUUAAAUAUCUUUUUGAGCAGCCCGAAUCAGUCAAACACGUAGUUCUUGACUCUGGUCUAUUUCUUUUCACAGGAAACACAAGUGGACAAUCUUUAAUUUACUUAUGUAGAGUUGUAGACAAAAGACUUAUUUUUUAUUAUUUGAAGUGGUCACAGGACUCUCAAAUGUGAAUUAUUGAAAUUUGGUAAACGUAGUUGCUAUUACAUAAUUAAAUGUCUUAAAACGUGCUUGUAAAAAAUAAUUAAAUGAUGCUUAGGGAGUAUUAUAAUUGACAAGUGGCUAAAACGUAGUCCAUUUUAAAAACUAGAAAUUGAAACGACAGGGACAUUCUGCUAGUUUAAACAAAUUAUGAUUCUCUUCUAAUAAAAAGAUAACCUAAAAAUAACAAAGCUCAAAUGUCAAAGGUUAGAAACAUUAUAUUACUAUGAAAGAACCAAAAUAACCAGAAACAUCAAUCCUAAUUAGCAUCUGAUAACAACCAAUAUAAAAAAAAGUCAACAUACCAAAAAACCCAACAGAAUUCAAUAUAUCUAAUAUAUACAAAUAGUGUACUUUUCUGACGAAUAAGAUUCGGGUGAACUAUCUGACUCAAUUCCUGGUAACAACAACAGUGAAAUGCAUAAGCAUAACCCAACUUUUUUUUUUUGGUUUCCCAUCCAGUGUCCGGAGCUCACAUUGGAACUCCGACUAAAUCCGGAUCGCGCUGACUCAUUCGGGGGUGGCGCUCCCAAUAGGAUUUUCUCUAUAUCCAGGGCUUGAACCCGAGACCUCUGGUUAGAGGUGAAACACUCCCACCAGUGCACCACAACCCAUGUUGGUAUACCUUUGGUUUUCUUUUAAGACCAUUAAUUAAUUAACAAAAUACAAUAAUUCAUCUAAUUUCAACUUGCAAUUAUUUAAAGGUUAUAUAUAGAACAUGGUUUGCUUUUUCCUUUUCCAUGACCAGACACGCUAAUUGAAGCAGGCAACGAAGACUAUGUCAACUAAGCUAUUAAGCGAAAGCCGUACGGUCAUACAUGAAUAAAUAGGAGACCAUACUUGUAUCCAAUUAUCAUAUUCACUUCUGUUUUCACCACUUUGCAUUAACAAUUUGAUCAUAUAGAUUAGCAAUAUGUCAAGAAUUUUGCACAAAAUCGAGGAGAAGCUUCACAUACACCACAAGCAUGGAGAUGAUAAUAUUCCUGCAGCUCAAAACAAGCCACAAGAAAUCCCUGUGAUUAAGGAUGAAAGCAAUGUAGAUAAGAAAGAGGACGACGUUGAUGAUCAUAAGAAAAGGAAUUUGGUGAAAAAAGUUGGGAAAAUUGCCAAAAAAUUGUUACAUGGUCAUAACAAAAACUCCAGAGAGGAAGGCUACGAAGGAGAGGAAGAGGAAGAGGAAGAGGCGGAG